UUUUUUUUUUUUUUUUCUUUUAGCUACACCCACAGCAUGCGGAAGUUCCCAGGCCAGGGACCUGAACUGCUGCAAUGACAACAUCAGAUCCUUAACCUGCUAUGCCACAAGGAACUCCUAUUCAAAUUUUUUUUUAAAGAUAUAUUUAAAAAUAAGAAUACACCAGCCAGAAUGGCCAUCAUCAAAAAGUCUACAAACAAUAAAUGCUGGAGAGGGUGUGGAGAAAAGGAAACCCCAUUGCACUGUUGGUGGGAAUGUAAAUUGGUGCAACGACUGUAGAAAACAAUACGGCGAUUCCUUAGAAAACUAAAAAUAGAAUUACCAUUUGAUCUGGCAAUCCCACUCCUGGACAGCUAUCCAGAAAAAACCAUGACUUGAAAAGAAACAUGUACUCCAAUGUUCAUUGCAGCACUACAUACAAUAGCCAAGACAUGGAAACCACCUGAAUGUCCAUCAACAGAGGAGUGGAUAAAGAAGAUGUGGUACAUAAACACAAUGGAAUAUUACUCUGCCAUUAAGAGGGAAGAAAUAAUGGCAUUUGCAGCAACAUGGAUGGAUCUAGAAAUUAUCAUGCUAAGUGAAGUUAGUCAGUGAGACACCAACAUCAUAUGCUAUUACUUACAUGUGGAAUCUAAAAAAAGGAUACAACGAACUUCUUUGCAGAACAGAUACUGACUCAGACUUUGAAAAACUUAAGGUUUCCAAAUGAGACAGGUUGGGGGGGAUGGGCUGGGGGUGUGGGAUGGAAAUGCUAUAAAAUACGUUGUGAUGAUCACUGUACAACUAUAAAUGCAGUAAAAUUCAUUGAGUAUAAAUAAUAAAAAUUAAAAAUAAAAAUAAGAAUAGAAAUGAUUCCCUGGCUCAUACUGGAUUAGGCGCUUAGCAGCCUUAAAACAAACAAACAAAAAUUUAGAUACUUCAACCACACUCAAGAAUAAAUUUCAGGAGUUCCCGUUGUGACUCAAUGGGAUUAAUGAUGUCUCUGUAACAAAAGGACACAGGUCUGAUCCCUGACCUAGCACAGUAGGUUAAUGAUCUGGUGUUGCCUCAGCUGUGGCAUAGGUUGCAACCUCAGCUUGGAUCUCAUCUCAGGCCCAGAAACUCCAAAUGCCCCAGGACAGCCAUGAGGGGGAGGGGGAAAUACAAUAAAUUUCAGGUGAAUUUUUUAAAGUUCAGUACUAAAAAUAUAAAGUCAUAAAUUAAAAUAGAUUAUUUUUGCUAGAGUAAAAUCUGAAACUUCAAAAUUGAUACAAAAUACAACAGACUGCAGAUUUGACUAUAUACAAAUUUCAAACUCAUGCACAUUAAAAACAAUAGCAAAAAAAAAAUCAAUAAACUGUAAGCCAACUGGAGAAAAUAUUUGUAGCAAAUUUUUUAGACAGUUAAAACUUGGGGCAUUUAUUAUAAAGAGUUCUACAAAUUGGUUUUUUUCAAGUUUUAAGAACUUAAAAUGUUGAUAAGAACAAAAGACAAAAAGACAAUGAAAAAACACAACUACUGGAGUUCCUGUUGUGGUGCAGCAGUAAUGAACCAGACUAGAAUCCAGGAGGACAUGGGUUCAAUCCCUGUCCUCCAUCAGUGGGUUAAAGAUCCUGCAUUGUCAUGAGCUAUGGUGUAGGUUACAGACGAGGCUCAGAUCUGGCAUUGCUUUGGCACAGACCAGCAGCUGUAGCUCUGAUUCAACCCCUAGCCUGAGAACCUCCAUAUGCCGCAGGUGUGGCCCUAAAAAUACAGGGAAAAAAAAAAAAAGUGGAGAAAGGCUCUACCUUGACAAUCCAAAAGAUACAAACAGGAGUUUCCUUGGGGCUCAACGGUUAAUGAACCCAACUAGGAUCCGUGAGGAUGCAGAUUAGAUCCCUAGCCUUGCUCAAUGGGUUAAGGAUCCGGUGUUGCUGUCAGCUGUGGCAGAGGUCGCAGAUCCCAUAUUGCUGUGGCUGUGCUGUAGGCCGGCGGCUGCAGCUCUGAUUCGUCCCCUAGCUGGAAACCUCCAUAUGCCCCAGAUUUGGCCCUAAAAAGCAAAAAAAAAAAAAGUAAAACAAGCUGCCAUUUUAUAUUACUCAUCAAAUAAUUUUAUUUGGCAAAUUAUAAUACCAAACUCUGAUAAAUGUUUAGUAAAAUCAACACUCAUAGACAACUUUCAGAAAAUGAUUUCAGUCAAAAGAUGUUAUUUCUGGAAUUCUACUCUAAGGAAGUAAUCCUAAAAAUGGAGGAAUCUUAAAUGAAUGUUUACCUCAGCAAAAUGUAAUAAGUGAAAAGUUGGAAGAAACUUAAAUAGCCAGUAAUAAUGCAAGAGUAAAUUAUGGGCAAUCCAGGCAAUGUAAUAUCAAGUAAAAAGAAAAAUUAUAAUUAUGAAAAUAAAAUAAUUUGAAAAAAUAGGAUAUGUACUAUGCGAUAAAAACAGAGUUCUGAUUAAAGAACACUGGACUGAAAUACAUUUAAUUUCACUCCCUUCUUAAAGCCCACUAAAACUCAAAAAAAGGAUUGUUUUCUUUUCUUGUUGUUGUUUUUGGCUGCAUCGUGCAGUGGUUUGAUGUGGGAUCUCAGUUCCCAGACCAGGGAUUGAACACUGGCCCCAUUGGUAAAAACGCUGAAUCCAAAUCACUAGACCACAAGGGAACUCCCUGUUUUCUUCUUUAAAUGCAUAAACCCAAAUAGAAAAAAAAAAUCAGGAUAAGACAUAAAACUAAGAAAACUCGGGAAGCUGUAAAGCAGCUUAAAGGACUCAGUAGAUGUAAUAAAGCUGAAUCUCUAAGCUGACCAGAGAAGGCGAGCUUUUUAUAUGGCAGAAUGCCAUGAAGCCUCAGAAUUAGUUGGACCAGGGUACUUCUAGGUGUAGGAGGGUAGGAGUAAUGAAGGCAGUUAUGCUAUUGGCUCAAAGUUAUUUAAGAAACAGUGAUAUUCCAGAGAUCUCCAACACUGUUCCACACAGCCUGGCCACCAAGCCUCCCAACCAUAGCAAAAGAUCAGAAGUUUACUGUCUAGAAGAUAGAAAACACUUUUCUGGACACCAGACAUAAAUGGAUUAAACACAUGAAUGGGAAUGUAGACAUUCCCCUCUUCCAUCUCUAAGUUUCCAGUGUCUGGCAGUCAGACUUUACCCUCCAGACAGAAGACCUGAAUGGACUUCUCUGAGUAAAGACCUAAAUAUACUGACUUGGAGGUGAGGGUGGAGGGGUUCCACAAUGAAAAUGCUCAGUAACAAGCCCCACUAACACAGAUUUUUUUUUUUUUUUUUUUUUUUUGUCUUUUCAGGGCCACACCUGUGGCAUAUGAACGUUCCCAGGCUGGGGGGUCAAAGCCAGGGAUCAAACCUGCAUCCUCAUGAAUGUUAGUCAGAAUCGUUUCCACUGCGCCACGAUGGGAACUCCAACAUAGAACUUCUAAUCAGCAUUAUGAGCAGAGAAACAAGAUGAUUAGGCAUUUGUGAAAUGCCUCUAAUAUAAAAGAAACAAAAUAACAGGAAAAAAUUUUUGAGGAAACAGUCUGCAGUGGGGGAAAAAUUCUUAAAAACAUACCAUAAAUAUCCUCAAAGAGAAAAGAUAUGAAAAAUUGAGAAAAAAGAACAAGCUAUUAUAACAAAAUUCAUAGAAAAAAAAAAGGCUCUUAAGGACAUAUAGAUGGCCGACGCUCACAAGUAAAGGUGUUCGGGAGUUCCUGUUGAGGCUCAGAGGUGACGAACCCGACUAGUAUCCAUGCGGAUUCGGGUUUGAUCUCUGGCCUUGCUCAGUGUAUCGGGGAUCCGUCGUUGCUGUGAGCCGUAGGUUGCUGAUUCAGCUUGGACCCCACACUGCUGUGGCUGUGGUAAAGGCCGGCAGCUGUGGCUCCAAUUCAACCUCUACUUUGGAAACUUCCAUAUGCUCUGUGAAUCUUAUGUACGUGGUCAUAAAGUAAAGACUACGUAUUUAUCUAACCAAAAUUACCACAUUACUAUAGUGGUAGAGUAAAGUAACAGGGAGAGGGGAAGGGGAAGUGGCUACGGUGGAAAGGGGGAAAACAGCUAAAUUUGCGUGCUCAGAAGUAGGAAGUCAAAAGAGAAUGUCUAGAAUAUACAACUGUCUCUUCAGAGAGGAGAAAAUACCAAGGAAGAUAAGGCAACUGUCUGUUAUUCAACAAAACUUAUACAAACUAUUUAAUACUUUAUAUGCAUGUAUGACACCAAUAAAAACAGACAUCUCAGAAAAAACUAAAGGAUACAAAACUACUUGUGUUAUGAUUAAAACAAUAAAACACACUGAUUCGAAAAAAGCAUAAAAGCAAAUGACUAGCUGUGGGGUGACAGGAUCAUUAAUGGGAUUCUCUCCCUUUUCCAAUCUUGCAGUAAAACUGUUGUACUGCUUUUACAAUUUUUAAACAAAUUUUAUAGACAUGCUAUUGGUUAUCAGAUGACAUUCUUGUCUUUGUUUACAAUAUUCCCUCCUUCUCUGUGGAUACUACCCUGCUUUUUACAACGCCACCUGACUAUCUAAUCCUCCUUUUGACUUGGUUAAAACAUCACCUCCUGUUUACUUUCAGCCCCAAAUUACUCUUUCUUCCGUUACCCUGCUUCAUCACAUAAGAAUAAUAAGCUCCUGGAGUUUCUGCUGUGGCUCACCGGUAACAAAUCUGACUAAUAUCCAUGAGGUCUUGGUUUCAAUUCCUGGCUCUGCUCAGUGGGUUAAGGAUCCAGGAUUACCACAAGCUGUGGAGUAAGGCACAAAUGUGGCUUGGAUCUGGCAUGGCUGUGGCUGUAGGCCUGCAGCUGCAGCGCAGAUUCGACCCUUAGCCUAGGAACUUCCAUAUGCCAAAGGUGCAGCCCUAAAAAGGAAAAAAGGGGUGGGAGGGAAUAUAAUUUCUUCCUAUUAAAUUUCAUCUUUCUACUUUAAUUUUUUUUUUAAGGCCACACACAAAGCAUAUGGAGGUUCCAAGGCUAGGGGUCAAAUCGGAGCUGUAGCUGCCAGCCUAUGCCAUGGCCACAGCAACACCAGAUCCUAGCCGCAUCUGAGACUACACCACAGCUCACAGCAAUUCUGGAUCCUUAACCCACUGAGCAGAGCCAGGGAUUGAGCCUGCAUUCUCAUGGAUGCUAGUCAGAUUCAUUUCCACUGAGCCACGAUGGAAACUCCUACUUUAACAUUUUUAAAAUAAGCUACCUACAUGAGAAAAAGAACACACACACAUAUAUACAGCAGUAAUUGGCACAACACUGUAAAUCAACUACACUUUAACAAUAAAAAAUUAAAAAUAAAAUAAUCUACCUUUAACUUUUCUAUAUAAAUUGGGUUGGCAAAGUGUUAUUCAAAUCUGUAAUAGGAACUUAUUUAGAUUACCUUAAGGAUAAACUCCAAAUGUCUUAAAUUCUUCAUAAGCUAAUAAAAGAAACAUCUAUCAGACAAUUCUCUAAACUCUGAUGUUGAAGAGAAUGUACUGUAUUUUUUAGAAAAUUUUUUUCAAUUACAUCGAUCAACAAGUCCUAGAGCCUUAACCUGAUCAGAUACUGUCAACAAAAACACUUUUAAUGGUGAUGCCAAACAGCCUCAAUUUUUCUGCAGCACAAAAAACUUUUAAAAAGCUGUUAAAAGGCAAAGGAAAUAAAUUAAAAGAGCUGUUGAAAGCUUCAUAAAAUACAAAUAUAUUUUCAUAAAACAAGUGGUUGGUAAACACACAAAAAGCAUUUACAUAUUAACCUGAAAAAUUACUUUAAUUCUGCUGAAAAACCAAAAGAAAUGGAACUCCUUAUUAUAGCUAAAUAAGAAACAAACACAGGUCAUUCAUGAGGUGGCUUAACACAUGAUCACAUGAUGCUGACCCUUUUUUUUGGUAAUAAGAAAAAUAGUUGUAAAAAUACAAUUUUAAUUGCAUUUUAAAGAGACAAUAAAAAUCACCUUCAAACUCACAAUACAGUGAUAACCUGUUAAUCUCUUAAUGCUUUGCAAUACAUUUUUCAAAUUUGUAUUUCUUUACAUGUACAUAAUCAUUACAAAAAUGAGGAGUUCCCACUGCGGUACAAUUGGAUCCACAGCAUCUUGGAGGCAGUGGGACACAGGUUUGAUUCCUGGCCCAGCACAGUGGAUUAAGGAUCCAGUGUUGUUCUAGCUGUGGAUU
Molecule: long non-coding RNA, 6081 nt
Filed under: Sus scrofa (pig)
Lineage: Eukaryota; Metazoa; Chordata; Mammalia; Artiodactyla; Suidae
Description: lncRNA (ENSSSCG00005016381.1)
Source: RNAcentral